ACUCCUACGGGAGGCAGCAGUGGGUAAUAUUGGACAAUGGGCGAAAGCCUGAUCCAGCCAUGCCGCGUGUGUGAAGAAGGUCUUCGGAUUGUAAAGCACUUUAAGUUGGGAGGAAGGGCAGUAAGUUAAUACCUUGCUGUUUGACGUA
RNAcentral lists this ribosomal RNA (148 nucleotides) under uncultured Pseudomonas sp. Its description in RNAcentral is "partial 16S small subunit ribosomal RNA". It matches the Rfam family "Bacterial small subunit ribosomal RNA", at positions 335 to 476 of the family's 1533-position model. Lineage: Bacteria; Pseudomonadati; Pseudomonadota; Gammaproteobacteria; Pseudomonadales; Pseudomonadaceae. The record is from RNAcentral.